Thalassophryne amazonica is the source of this 391-nucleotide long non-coding RNA. RefSeq lists it as uncharacterized. Lineage: Eukaryota; Metazoa; Chordata; Actinopteri; Batrachoidiformes; Batrachoididae. The record is from RefSeq and is a predicted model, not a curated record. The transcript is spliced from 3 exons.
UGCGAGACAUGGGGGAGGAGCAAAAAAAUUCCUCCUAUCACGAAGAAGCAGAAGGACCUUCUUCAGAACCUCCAGCAGAAGAAGGCUGAAAUCAGGUGUCUCCUGGAAAAUAACAAAGCAGCCAGAAAGAAGAAGCAUCAGCUGCUGAGGCAGCAUGAAGAGAUGGAGAGGAUGAGACGCUCCACACACAGGCUGAAGGAACGUCUCAAAUGUGCUGAGGCUGAAGCACCUGGGACGUCCUUGUCAGUAUUCAGCAUUCCAGCAGGGUCCUUAGUCAGCGCAGCCUCCUCUGUUAUGGACCUCCUGAGAACAUCCACCCCUCUCUCAGUGUGUGUCAGUGACACGAGUGCCACCAUGUAGCUGCUGGAGGAGACGUGAACGCUCACAUGGA